Molecule: ribosomal RNA, 406 nt
Filed under: uncultured bacterium
Lineage: Bacteria
Description: partial 16S ribosomal RNA
Rfam family: Bacterial small subunit ribosomal RNA
Source: RNAcentral
AUUGAACGCUGGCGGCAGGCCUAACACAUGCAAGUCGAGCGAGCGGCGGACGGGUGAGUAAUGUCUGGGAAACUGCCUGAUGGAGGGGGAUAACUACUGGAAACGGUAGCUAAUACCGCAUACCAUCAGAUGUGCCCAGAUGGGAUUAGCUAGUAUGUGGGGUAAUGGCUCGCCUAGGCGACGAUCACUAGCUGGUCUGAGAGGAUGACCAGCCACACUGGAACUGUGACACGGUCCAGGAUCCUACGGGAGGCAGCAGUGGGGAAUAUGGCGCCAUGGGCGCGAGCCUGAUGCAGCCAUGCCGCGUGUGUGAAGAAGGCCUUCGGGUUGUAAAACACUUUCAGCGGGGAGGCGUUACCCGCAGAAGAAGCACCGGCUAACUCCGUGCCAGCCGCCGCGGUAAUUC